This 273-nucleotide ribosomal RNA is filed under the name uncultured soil bacterium. RNAcentral describes it as "partial 16S ribosomal RNA". It matches the Rfam family "Bacterial small subunit ribosomal RNA", at positions 26 to 282 of the family's 1533-position model. The record is from RNAcentral.
AGAAUCAACGCUGGCGGCGUGCCUCAGACAUGCAAGUCGAACGCGAAAAUUUCCUUCGGGGAAUGAGUAGAGUGGCGCACGGGUGAGUAACACGUAGGUAAUCUACCUUUGGAUGGGGAAUAACAACCGGAAACGGUUGCUAAUACCGCAUAAUGCAGCGGCACCUAAUGGUGACAGUUGUUAAAGCGGGGGAUCGAAAGACCUCGCGUCUGAAGAGGAGCCUGCGGCGGAUUAGCUAGUUGGUAAGGUAAUGGCUUACCAAGGCUACGAUCC